This 460-nucleotide ribosomal RNA is filed under the name uncultured bacterium. RNAcentral describes it as "partial 16S ribosomal RNA". It matches the Rfam family "Bacterial small subunit ribosomal RNA", at positions 338 to 795 of the family's 1533-position model. The record is from RNAcentral.
CCUACGUGAUGCAGCAGUGAGGAAUAUUGGUCAAUGGGCUCUAGCCUGACCCAGCCAAGUAGCGUGAAGGAUGACUGCCCUAUGGGUUGUAACCUUCUUUUAUAUGGGAAUCAAGUGCAGUAUGUAUACUGCUUUUCAUGUACCUUAUGAAUAAGGAUCGGCUAACUCCGUUCCAGCCGCCGCGGUAAUACGGAGGAUACGAGCGUUAUCCGGUAUGAUUGGGUUUAAAGGGAUCUGAGGCGGGUUGUUAAGUCAGUUGUGAAAGUUUGCGGCUCAACCGUAAGAUUGCAGUUGAUACUGGCAUCCUUGAGUACAGUAGAGGUAGGCGGAAUUCGUGGUGUAGCGGUGAAAUGCUUAGAUAUCACGAAGAACUCCGAUUGCGAAGGCAGCCUGCUGGACUGUAACUGACGCUGAUGCUCGAAAGUGUGGGUAUCAAACAGGAUUAGAUACCCUUGUAGUC